UGGGGAAUAUUGCACAAUGGAGGGAACUCUGAUGCAGCGACGCCGCGUGAGUGAUGAAGGAAUUCGUUUCGUAAAACUCUGUUCUAUGGGAAGAAAAGGACUGUACCAUAGGAGAAAGCUCCGGCUAAAUACGUGCCAGCAGCCGCGGUAAUACGUAUGGAGCGAGCGUUGUCCGGAAUUAUUGGGCGUAAAGGGUGCGCAGGCGGCUUUACAAGUUGGAUGUGAAAUAUUGUGGCUCAACCACAAACGUGCAUCCAAAACUGGAAAGCUAGAGUUAAGGAGAGGUAAGUGGAAUUCCUGGUGUAGCGGUGGAAUGCGUAGAUAUCAGGAGGAAUACCGGUGGCGAAGGCGACUUACUGGACUUAAACUGACGCUCAGGCACGAAAGCGUGGGGAGCAAACAGG
This 404-nucleotide ribosomal RNA is filed under the name Fusobacteriota bacterium. RNAcentral describes it as "Fusobacteria bacterium partial 16S ribosomal RNA". It matches the Rfam family "Bacterial small subunit ribosomal RNA", at positions 355 to 776 of the family's 1533-position model. The record is from RNAcentral. Lineage: Bacteria; Fusobacteriati; Fusobacteriota.